AAGUCGUAACAAGGUUUCCGUCGCGGAAUACUGGAUCGUGUAAUCUCAUUGCUCACUCUUUCCUUUUAACUAAGUAACCCUUUCCUUUAACCGGGAAGGUUAUCUUCAGUGUCCUUCCAAAACACCUAUAGAAGCCUUACACUGCGACUUUAAAGAAAAGUGCAGUCUUGAUUUACAAUCAGGGCAACGCUUCCAGUUUGCUGGAAAACUCCUUCAUUGGAAACCAGCAGCCAUACUGUCAAUACUGCAGUACGGCUCACAGAUCAAACUGAAGCGGUUAGACGUUUAACUAUGUUUAAUGGAGAUAUGACCGAGUCUUAUCCUGGAAGGGGUAAGAGACGAACGUUCCGUAGGUGAACCUGCGGAAGGAUCAUUACUGAGUUAGGGGUUCUUUUAGGCCCCGAUCUCCAACCAUUUGUUAAAUCUACCUUUGUUGCUUUGGCCGGCCCGUCUUUCGGGACCGCCGGAGGGAUUCAGUUACCUCUGGUCCGCUGCCGGCCAGUAGCCCAAUUAAUUCUUCUUAACCAUGUCGUCUGAUAAUUAAUCAAUUUAAUUAAAA
This 559-nucleotide unclassified non-coding RNA is filed under the name plant metagenome. RNAcentral describes it as "partial contains small subunit ribosomal RNA and internal transcribed spacer 1". The record is from RNAcentral.